This 483-nucleotide ribosomal RNA is filed under the name uncultured bacterium. Its description in RNAcentral is "partial 16S ribosomal RNA". It matches the Rfam family "Bacterial small subunit ribosomal RNA", at positions 30 to 506 of the family's 1533-position model. The record is from RNAcentral.
AUUGAACGCUGGCGGCAGGCCUAACACAUGCAAGUCGAGCGGAUGAAGGGAGCUUGCUCCUGGAUUCAGCGGCGGACGGGUGAGUAAUGCCUAGGAAUCUGCCUGGUAGUGGGGGAUAACGUCCGGAAACGGGCGCUAAUACCGCAUACGUCCUGAGGGAGAAAGUGGGGGAUCUUCGGACCUCACGCUAUCAGAUGAGCCUAGGUCGGAUUAGCUAGUUGGUGGGGUAAAGGCCUACCAAGGCGACGAUCCGUAACUGGUCUGAGAGGAUGAUCAGUCACACUGGAACUGAGACACGGUCCAGACUCCUACGGGAGGCAGCAGUGGGGAAUAUUGGACAAUGGGCGAAAGCCUGAUCCAGCCAUGCCGCGUGUGUGAAGAAGGUCUUCGAAUUGUAAAGCACUUUAAGUUGGGAGGAAGGGCAGUAAGUUAAUACCUUGCUGUUUUGACGUUACCAACAGAAUAAGCACCGGCUAACUUCGU